AGUGAACGCUGGCGGUAGGCCUAACACAUGCAAGUCGAACGGCAGCACAGUAAGAGCUUGCUCUUACGGGUGGCGAGUGGCGGACGGGUGAGGAAUACAUCGGAAUCUACUUUUUCGUGGGGGAUAACGUAGGGAAACUUACGCUAAUACCGCAUACGACCUACGGGUGAAAGCAGGGGAUCUUCGGACCUCGCGCGAUUAAAUGAGCCGAUGUCGGAUUAGCUAGUUGGCGGGGUAAAGGCCCACCAAGGCGACGAUCCGUAGCUGGUCUGAGAGGAUGAUCAGCCACACUGGAACUGAGACACGGUCCAGACUCCUACGGGAGGCAGCAGUGGGGAAUAUUGGACAAUGGGCGCAAGCCUGAUCCAGCCAUACCGCGUGGGUGAAGAAGGCCUUCGGGUUGUAAAGCCCUUUUGUUGGGAAAGAAAAGCAGCAGGUUAAUACCCCGCUGUUCUGACGGUACCCAAAGAAUAAGCACCGGCUAACUUCGUG
RNAcentral lists this ribosomal RNA (492 nucleotides) under uncultured bacterium. RNAcentral's name for it is "partial 16S ribosomal RNA". It matches the Rfam family "Bacterial small subunit ribosomal RNA", at positions 29 to 507 of the family's 1533-position model. The record is from RNAcentral.